Molecule: long non-coding RNA, 1244 nt
Organism: Bos taurus (domestic cattle)
Lineage: Eukaryota; Metazoa; Chordata; Mammalia; Artiodactyla; Bovidae
Source: Ensembl
UACGAAGGCCCAACACCACCCUAACUAAAGCUGCAGAAGAGGCACUUUCUUUAAACCAGUCCUUUUGUGCUCUGGAGGUCAUCCCAUACUAUGUCCUUGCUGAAUCUUCUCAACUAGCAGCCGAGACCCUCACCCUCAACUAUUCAUGACUUCAUAGGGUAGCCUCUUUAUGGACAGUAUUCCCAAAUCUGGCCAAUCUGCAAAGGCACAGUUCCUAAAAACCUAUCCUUUCUCUCCUUUCUUCUGUCCGCUACCGUUUCCUAGGUUCCAACCAUCUAAUCAGAUUGAUGGCAAUUUUUCACUAAGAAUCUUGUACUGAUCCAUUCAUUCAACAAGUGUCCACUGAGCACCAACUAUGUGUCAGCAUUCUUCUAGGUGCUAGGGGUAUAUCGAUGGGUGGGAUCAGAUCAGGACGUUCACCUUCAUGAGAGGCUAACACAAUACAUAUGCGAAUUAACUGAUAAUAAAGAUAGAUGUAGGAAGUCCCCGACAUACGAACCUUCAAGUUACGAGCUUUCAAGGAUGCAGACCUGUGUUCCGUCGAUGUCCAGCGGGAUGAGACUGCCGCUCACCCUCCGGGUCUAUCACUGACGACUCUCAGCUGUAUCAUCUCCCGCUGCCUCUCUCGCCUCCACCCAGAAGCUCUUGCCUGUUCCCUCAGGGCCAUCACCUGGAUGCCGGCUGCUGUCCUGCACAACUGUACUUUUCAAGGCACCGCACUGUCAGAUUAAACACAUUUUCUUUAUUUCUAUGUUUGUUUUUAUGUAUUAUUUGUAUGGGAAGUAUUAUAAACCUAUUAUAGAACAGAAUGAUACGUUGAGUGCAUUAGUUGGGUACCUAGGCUAACACUGCUGGACUUACAAACAAACAGGAUUUAACAAAUGUGCUCUCGGAAUGGAACUCGCUUGUAUGCGGGGAACUUACUGUAUUGAGAUACAACUGACAAACCCCAUAUGUUCUUCCAUUUGUAAAGUGUACAAUUCACUGGUCUUUAGUAUAUUCAUAGAAUUAUGAAAUCAUCACCACAAUCAAGCCUAGAACAUUUGCAUCUCUCCAAAAAGAAACGCCAUGCCCCUCAGCAGCACUCCCCAAGCCUCAAGCUCCUAGCCUAGGCAACUCCUCCGUAGACUUGCCUAUUCCAGACACAUCAUAUAAAUGGCAUCAUGCAACACGUGCUCUUUUGUCACUGGCUUCUUUCACUUAGCAUAAUGUUUUUAAGGGUCGCUCUGGUUGUAGCAUAUACC